This 1646-nucleotide unclassified non-coding RNA is filed under the name Octopus sinensis (East Asian common octopus). RNAcentral's name for it is "e3 ubiquitin-protein ligase MIB2, transcript variant X3". Lineage: Eukaryota; Metazoa; Mollusca; Cephalopoda; Octopoda; Octopodidae. The record is from RNAcentral.
GAUUGGUUAAGUAAAGAAAGGUUAGGAGUGAGUGUGAGAGUGUAAGGCAAGAAGUCCGUCUGUUUGCCGUGCAUUGGUCGACCAGUGUGACACGCGAUCUCCAGUCGAACGAUUCGCUUCCGACCUUCAUUCAUUGACUUUCGAUCACGGGAACUUGUCUAGAUCGAACUUCAGAUCCUCCUUGCUAACUUUAAUUCCAUUUCAUCACACCCUCGAGUCCUUCGCCGUCCUAUUGUGCAUAUUUCAUUUAAAAGAUGGAAGUUGAUAAGAAUAUAAGUAAAAUUUUGCUUGAUGACAUUCAAUAUAUUCAAGAAUAUAUUCGUAACAAUUCACAUAAAAUUAACGAGACAAAUUCAUGGGGUCUGACAUAUUUGAUGGUUGCCUCUCAACUGGGCAACACUGAUUUUGUAAACUUCUUGAUAGAUUCUGGUGCUGAUUUGGAAGUGAGGGACAAAGAUGCUGAUACGGCUUUACAUUAUGCUGUGUUUGGAGGUCAUUGUGAUGUGGUGGCCCUCAUAGUCUCCAAGGGUGCCAAUGUUAACAGACAAGACAAGUCUGGCAACACACCUCUCCAUUAUGCUGUAGAGAAGAACUAUGAAGAUGUGAUGGAAAUCAUAUUAAACACAGAAGCAACUCAGAGUCAUGUGGAAGUGGAUACCAGGAACAGUAACAAAACAACACCAUUGCUCCAAGCCAUCUCUGGCGGUCACCUCGGAAUGAUCCGCAAGUUACUUUCUCGUGGCGCAGAUAUAAACGCUGUCGAUAAUGAUGAUAACAACUGUCUGCACUUCGCUGUGAGGAAAGAAGUGUUUCAUUCUGAGGGUGAAGCCUUAGGCAUUUUAGAUGAGUGCUGUGCUAUGCUUGAAUUGGGAAAGAAUGCCAGGCUCUCCGGCGCAGUAAUAGCUACUUACCUGGCUCUGCAGGGAGCCAACUUUUACCAUAAAAAUUGCAAUAAUGCGACCCCGUUGGACCUUGUUAUGAACCCAGAUUUGAAAGAAAAAUUUAAAUCCCUUUUCCCAUCACUAUGUCUGUUUUGUGAAGAGAAAGUGUCCACACUGAAAUGCCAAUCCUGUGGACAGAUGGUGAUCUGUGAGGAAUGUGGUACCGAACCUAACUCUACAUGUCUUGAAUGUCAGCAACCCACAACCAGAGAAAGUGGAAUUGAGAGUCGAAAGCUGAAGGAGAAGGAUCUUCUGAAAGUGGCCAAGAAGUUAGGGAAUAAUUGGUGGCAAGUGGGGAUUUUCUUAGGAGUUGAAACUUCUGAACUGGAAAUUCACGACGAUUCUAAAGACACUGUGAAACAGGGCUACAUGGUGUUGCACAAAUGGUUUAAAAGUUGUGAUCCAGAGAAACAAACACUCAAAACACUUGGAGAUGCCCUCGAGGAAGCUGAGUGCCUUGAUGCACUCAAAUGUCUGUCAUCAGAUGUAAAGUGAAGCUCUGUGUAAAUGUUGUUGUUUAGUUUGAGGUCAAUCUCGACCAAAUACAGACCUUUGGUUAAAUGCAUUCCAGGGGAUAAGGUAUGAAUUGUGGUCGAUUUGGCUACUACUUCUAGCAGAUCUAUCACAAAGAAAUCCCUUUGCUGGUUCGUCUCCCCUGUUGUUAGAGAUUAAAUUUUGAAAUAAAGAUAAACUUUGAACUGUUCA